GCAGAGGAGCAGGCAUUCGCUGCGUCUCGCGAGGGACGGGGAGGAAAGUCCGGGCUCCGCAGGACACGCUGGUGGGUAACGCCCACCAUCCGUGAGGAUCGGGAAAGUGCAACAGAAAGUAAACCGCCGAUCGGAAUUCUGCGAUGCAGGAUUCAGGAGGUAAGGGUGAAACGGUGCGGUAAGAGCGCACCAGCAGUGCGGGUGACCGUGCUGGCUGGGUAAACCCCGGCGGGAGCAAGGCCAAGCAGAGAGAAGCAUCCUCAGGGAUGCUCGAAUCGGUCCGGUUCGACGGACUCUCGGGUCGGCUGCUAAAGAUGCCAGGCAACUGUCAUCUCAGAGAAAUGAAUGCCCCAGACAAAACCCGGCUUAUCGCUCCUCUGCUGAU
This 385-nucleotide RNase P RNA is filed under the name Planctomyces sp. RNAcentral's name for it is "RNase P RNA component class A". It matches the Rfam family "Bacterial RNase P class A". From Rfam's summary of the family: Ribonuclease P (RNase P) is a ubiquitous endoribonuclease, found in archaea, bacteria and eukarya as well as chloroplasts and mitochondria. The record is from RNAcentral. Lineage: Bacteria; Pseudomonadati; Planctomycetota; Planctomycetia; Planctomycetales; Planctomycetaceae.